RNAcentral lists this long non-coding RNA (1746 nucleotides) under Mus musculus (house mouse). Its description in RNAcentral is "long non-coding RNA chr3:45433877-45435623". The record is from RNAcentral. Lineage: Eukaryota; Metazoa; Chordata; Mammalia; Rodentia; Muridae.
CUUGCCAUCAACAUUUAACUUAUUAAGAACAGAUUCCAUGCAACUAAAUUUAUUUCAAGAGUGUUUGCUGUUAACUUUUAAUUUUCUGUAAUUAUCCUGCUUUCAGUUAAAUGGAUCUCAAAAUUAGUCUUUUCAAACUAGGUGUACAUUUUUAAAAAAAAUCCUCUUUUUAAUGUAAAAAGCAUGCCUUCUCACAAAAUUAUAUUUUAUAUAAAUUAAAAGGAAAAAAAGACCCAAAAUGGUUAACCAAAGAAAAAUUUAGGUUUAAGGCAAAAUUCCCUAAAUUCUGGCGUUCUGCAGAAUGAAGAGAUACUAAUUAGUUACAAUUGAAAUUGUAAACUAUUAUGAAUUGUAAAAAAUUAUGAAUACUCAGAAACCAAUGCCAAUUCAUAGAGAACUGUGGAGGCCAUGGAAUGUAAUGGUCAUGUUUGCAAUCCAGACUAGGGAGCUUCCCCAUUUUUGACAUCAUUUAAAACCUGACACUUAUUAAUUUUCAAAAUAUGGAAUGAGGGAAACGAUAACAACUUAAGCUGUGUAUGUGAAGAAAACAUAAUUGCCAAUUUGCUUUGAAUCUUUCAUUUUAAAAACACAACAUUUUUUUAAAUCUUUCUCUUUUUUUCUUUUUUAAUUAAUCAUUCCAUUUAUGUCCCAUAAGUUUGGUUAUGUUGUACCUUCAUUUUCAUUAAAUUAUAAAAAGUCUUUAAUUUCUUUCUUUAUGUUUUCCUUGACCAAGUUAUCAUUGAGUAGAGCGUUGUUCAGCAUCCAUGUAUAUGUGAGCUUUCUGGUAUCUUUGUUGCUAUUGAAGACCAGCCUUAAUCUGAUAGGAGGCAUUGGGUCUGAGGAUGUUCAACACCCCAGUGUAGGGGAAUACCAGGGCAGGAGGAUGGGAGUGGGUGGGUGGUUGAGCACUCUCAUAGAGGCAGGCGAAAGGGGAAUGAGAUAGGGGGUUUCCAAAGGGGAGAUCUGGAAAGGGGAAAACAUUUGAAAUGAAAUAAAUAAAAUAUCCAAGAAAAAAAAAAUCAUUCCAUUUGUUUAUAUCUCAAAUUAUAUUCCACUUCCUGGUUACCCCUCCACAAACCCCCAUCUCACAUCUGCCCUCUACUCCCUCCUCUUUGUCUCUAUGAUGGUGUUCCCACCCAUCUUCUUCUGCCCCACUGCUCCAGCAACCCCCUAUACACUCCUAGGUUGAUGACCUAGUCUCUGAGAGCACUGUGUGGUCUGACCAGCCAAUGUUGUUUUUCCUAUGGGGUUGCAAUGCCCCUCCGCUCCUACAGUUCUACCAUCAGGGUCCCUGAGCUCAGUCUGAUGAUUGGCUCAAAGCAUCCACAUCUCAUUCUUUUUUUUUUUUUCUUCUUCUUCAAGAUUUAUUUAUUUUUGUAUAAUGAGCACGCUGUUUCUGACACACCAAGAGAGGGCACUGGAUCCAAUUAUACAUGUUGUGAGCACCAUGUGGAUUCUGGGAAUUGAAUUCACGACCUCUGGAAGAGUAGCCAGUGUUCUGAAUCGCUGAGCCAUCUCUCUACCCCCAAAAUACAACAUUCUAAAAUGUGUUUUUUCCCUGGGACAAAUGAUGAAAAUUUGAAAAUUCAGAUGUUUCAGGAAUGUUCUACCAAAUUAAUGCAUGUAAAGCAUUAGAACCACCAUUGAUAACCAACUGAACAAGUAGGAAAUAGACAAUGUAUAAAGAUGCUAGGAUUGCCUAAUUACUCCCAAUACUGCUUGAAAAACAUGUGUCCUUCCCUGUCC